AUGAACGCUGGCGGCGUGCCUAAUACCUGCAAGUCGAGCGAACAGACGAGGAGCUUGCUCCUUUGACGUUAGCGGCGGACGGGUGAGUAACACGUAGGUAACCUACCUAUAAGACUGGGAUAACUUCGGGAAACCGGAGCUAAUACCGGAUAAUAUUUCGAACCGCAUGGUUCGAUAGUGAAAGAUGGCUUUGCUAUCACUUAUAGAUGGACCUGCGCCGUAUUAGCUAGUUGGUAAGGUAACGGCUUACCAAGGCAACGAUACGUAGCCGACCUGAGAGGGUGAUCGGCCACACUGGAACUGAGACACGGUCCAGACUCCUACGGGAGGCAGCAGUAGGGAAUCUUCCGCAAUGGGCGAAAGCCUGACGGAGCAACGCCGCGUGAGUGAUGAAGGUCUUCGGAUCGUAAAACUCUGUUAUUAGGGAAGAACAAACGUGUAAGUAACUGUGCACGUCUUGACGGUACCUAAUCAGAAAGCCACGGCUAACUACGUG
RNAcentral lists this ribosomal RNA (496 nucleotides) under uncultured bacterium. Its description in RNAcentral is "partial 16S ribosomal RNA". It matches the Rfam family "Bacterial small subunit ribosomal RNA", at positions 29 to 507 of the family's 1533-position model. The record is from RNAcentral.